This 219-nucleotide ribosomal RNA is filed under the name uncultured bacterium. RNAcentral's name for it is "partial 16S ribosomal RNA". It matches the Rfam family "Bacterial small subunit ribosomal RNA", at positions 1282 to 1500 of the family's 1533-position model. The record is from RNAcentral.
UAAGUCUCAGUUCGGAUUGUGGGCUGCAACCCGCCCACAUGAAGUCGGAGUUGCUAGUAAUCCCGAAUCAGCAUGUCGGGGUGAAUGCGUUCCCGGGUCUUGUACACACCGCCCGUCACGCCAUGGGAGUUGGGAGUACCCGAAGUCAGUGACAUAACCGCAAGGGGUGAGCUGCCGAAGGUAAGACCGAUGACUGGGGUGAAGUCGUAACAAGGUAGC